GUCAAGGUUUUCUUAUCAACACUUCUAAUAUUUUGCUCCACUCUGUUCUUGCUGGCAUGGUUUCUGAAGGGAAGUUGGAUAUAAUUUUUAUCAUACUUCUCUCUAGGUGUGUGCCCUGUGGAGACAGCAGAGAGUUUUGCUGAUUUGUCAGUGAGGUACUCUCUCAGUGCUGGGGCAGCACUGGGCACUUCGCUGGCAGUCAUGAGAUACUUGUUGAACGCAUGAAUUGAAGGCAUCGGGUGGAACUGGGGAGACAGGCCAAGGGCAAGUUCCUGGUGGCAGAGCCAGCAUCGCAGGCAAGCAGAUGGAUCGACGUGGGGCCUGACUCAGAGAACUGACAUGAUCUGUCCCAGGUCACAGCGAGUUAGAGGCAGGG
This is a long non-coding RNA of Dama dama (fallow deer), 376 nucleotides long. RefSeq lists it as uncharacterized. NCBI's taxonomy places the organism in Eukaryota, Metazoa, Chordata, Mammalia, Artiodactyla, Cervidae. The transcript has 3 exons. The record is from RefSeq and is a predicted model, not a curated record.